GGGGCAACCCUGGGCGGCGAGCGGCGAACGGGUGAGUAACAUAUCGGAACGUACCCUGUCGUGGGGGAUAACACAGCGAAAGCUGUGCUAAUACCGCAUACGACCUGAGGGUGAAAGCGGGGGAUCGCAAGACCUCGCGCGAUAGGAGCGGCCGAUAUCGGAUUAGCUUGUUGGUGAGGUAAAGGCUCACCAAGGCGACGAUCCGUAGCUGGUCUGAGAGGACGACCAGCCACACUGGAACUGAGACACGGUCCAGACUCCUACGGGAGGCAGCAGUGGGGAAUUUUGGACAAUGGGGGCAACCCUGAUCCAGCCAUUCCGCGUGAGUGAAGAAGGCCUUCGGGUUGUAAAGCUCUUUCAGCAGGAACGAAACGGUGGCCCCUAAUACGGGCUACUAAUGACGGUACCUGAAGAAGAAGCACCGGCUAACUACGUGCCAGCAGCCGCGGUAAUACGUAGGGUGCGAGCGUUAAUCGGAAUUACUGGGCGUAAAGCGUGCGCAGGCGGUUCCAUAAGACAGAUGUGAAAUCCCCGGGCUUAACCUGGGAACUGCGUUUGUGACUGUGGGACUCGAGUGUGGCAGAGGGGGGUGGAAUUCCACGUGUAGCAGUGAAAUGCGUAGAGAUGUGGAGGAACACCGAUGGCGAAGGCAGCCCCCUGGGUCAACACUGACGCUCAUGCACGAAAGCGUGGGGAGCAAACAGGAUUAGAUACCCUGGUAGUCCACGCCCUAAACGAUGCGAACUAGGUGUUGGGGAAGGAGACUUUCUUAGUACCGCAGCUAACGCGUGAAGUUCGCCGCCUGGGGAGUACGGUCGCAAGAUUAAAACUCAAAGGAAUUGACGGGGACCCGCACAAGCGGUGGAUGAUGUGGAUUAAUUCGAUG
Molecule: ribosomal RNA, 886 nt
Filed under: uncultured beta proteobacterium
Lineage: Bacteria; Pseudomonadati; Pseudomonadota; Betaproteobacteria
Description: bacterial SSU rRNA
Rfam family: Bacterial small subunit ribosomal RNA
Source: RNAcentral